RNAcentral lists this ribosomal RNA (311 nucleotides) under unidentified eubacterium 97R6. Its description in RNAcentral is "bacterial SSU rRNA". It matches the Rfam family "Bacterial small subunit ribosomal RNA", at positions 508 to 818 of the family's 1533-position model. The record is from RNAcentral.
ACAGCAGCCGCGGUAAUACGUAGGGUGCAAGCGUUAAUCGGAAUUACUGGGCGUAAAGCGUGCGCAGGCGGUUUUGUAAGUCAGAUGUGAAAUCCCCGGGCUUAACCUGGGAACUGCGUUUGAAACUACAAGGCUAGAGUGUGGCAGAGGGGGGUGGAAUUCCACGUGUAGCAGUGAAAUGCGUAGAGAUGUGGAGGAACACCNAUGGCGAAGGNAGCCCCCUGGGUUAACACUGACGCUCAGGCACGAAAGCGUGGGGAGCAAACAGGAUUAGGUACCCUGGUAGUCCACGCCCUAAACGAUGUCAACUU